RNAcentral lists this ribosomal RNA (800 nucleotides) under uncultured bacterium. RNAcentral describes it as "bacterial SSU rRNA". It matches the Rfam family "Bacterial small subunit ribosomal RNA", at positions 8 to 794 of the family's 1533-position model. The record is from RNAcentral.
AGAGUUUGAUCCUGGCUCAGAGUGAACGCUGGCGGUAGGCCUAACACAUGCAAGUCGAACGGCAGCACAGUAAGAGCUUGCUCUUAUGGGUGGCGAGUGGCGGACGGGUGAGGAAUACAUCGGAAUCUACUUUUUCGUGGGGGAUAACGUAGGGAAACUUACGCUAAUACCGCAUACGACCUACGGGUGAAAGCAGGGGACCUUCGGGCCUUGCGCGAUUGAAUGAGCCGAUGUCGGAUUAGCUAGUUGGCGGGGUAAAGGCCCACCAAGGCGACGAUCCGUAGCUGGUCUGAGAGGAUGAUCAGCCACACUGGAACUGAGACACGGUCCAGACUCCUACGGGAGGCAGCAGUGGGGAAUAUUGGACAAUGGGCGCAAGCCUGAUCCAGCCAUACCGCGUGGGUGAAGAAGGCCUUCGGGUUGUAAAGCCCUUUUGUUGGGAAAGAAAAGCAGCAGGCUAAUACCCCGCUGUUCUGACGGUACCCAAAGAAUAAGCACCGGCUAACUUCGUGCCAGCAGCCGCGGUAAUACGAAGGGUGCAAGCGUUACUCGGAAUUACUGGGCGUAAAGCGUGCGUAGGUGGUUGUUUAAGUCUGUUGUGAAAGCCCUGGGCUCAACCUGGGAACUGCAGUGGAAACUGGACGACUAGAGUGUGGUAGAGGGUAGCGGAAUCCCCGGUGUAGCAGUGAAAUGCGUAGAGAUCGGGAGGAACAUCCAUGGCGAAGGCAGCUACCUGGACCAACACUGACACUGAGGCACGAAAGCGUGGGGGAGCAAACAGGAUUAGAUACCCUGGUAGU